AACAGGAUUAGAUACCCUGGUAGUCCACGCUGUAAACGAUGUCGAUUUGGAGGUUGUGCCCUUGAGGCGUGGCUUCCGGAGCUAACGCGUUAAAUCGACCGCCUGGGGAGUACGGCCGCAAGGUUAAAACUCAAAUGAAUUGACGGGGGCCCGCACAAGCGGUGGAGCAUGUGGUUUAAUUCGAUGCAACGCGAAGAACCUUACCUACUCUUGACAUCCAGAGAACUUAGCAGAGAUGCUUUGGUGCCUUCGGGAACUCUGAGACAGGUGCUGCAUGGCUGUCGUCAGCUCGUGUUGUGAAAUGUUGGGUUAAGUCCCGCAACGAGCGCAACCCUUAUCCUUUGUUGCCAGCGGUUCGGCCGGGAACUCAAAGGAGACUGCCAGUGAUAAACUGGAGGAAGGUGGGGAUGACGUCAAGUCAUCAUGGCCCUUACGAGUAGGGCUACACACGUGCUACAAUGGCGUAUACAAAGAGAAGCGACCUCGCGAGAGCAAGCGGACCUCAUAAAGUACGUCGUAGUCCGGAUUGGAGUCUGCAACUCGACUCCAUGAAGUCGGAAUCGCUAGUAAUCGUAGAUCAGAAUGCUACGGUGAAUACGUUCCCGGGCCUUGUACACACCGCCCGUCACACCAUGGGAGUGGGUUGCAAAAGAAGUAGGUAGCUUAACCUUCGGGAGGGCGCUUACCACUUUGUGAUUCAUGACUGGGGUGAAGUCGUAACAAGGUAACCGUAGGGGAACCUGCGGCUGGAUCACCUCCUU
Molecule: ribosomal RNA, 761 nt
Filed under: uncultured bacterium
Lineage: Bacteria
Description: bacterial SSU rRNA
Rfam family: Bacterial small subunit ribosomal RNA
Source: RNAcentral